GCUAGGUGUGGUGGUGCAUGCCUGUAAUCCCAGCUACUCAGGAGGCUGAGGCAGGAGAAUCACUUGAGCCCAGGAGGCAGAGGUUGCAGUGAGCCAAGAUCGCGCCACUGCACUCCAGCCUGGGCGACAGAGCGAGACUCUGUCUCAA
Molecule: non-coding RNA, 148 nt
Filed under: Homo sapiens (human)
Lineage: Eukaryota; Metazoa; Chordata; Mammalia; Primates; Hominidae
Source: Rfam by way of RNAcentral